CAUCGAUGUUGAUAUUUGGCUUAAUACGGCGAUUAGCGACGGAGAGGCUUGUGAAGACGCUUUGAGUGAACGUGCUGGUAAUGACGCUGAGCUUGCUCGUAGGAACACUAACUUCUUGAAGCUUUGCAAUUUCGCUCUUACGCUUUGAGCGAACGUGCUGGUAAUGACGCUGAGCUUGCUCGUAGGAACACUAAUUUCUUGAAGCUUUGCAAAGAUGCUCUUCUCAUCAACACUAUUUUAACUCCAUAAGUUUAUUGUUACGACUAAUUAAUUACUUUGUAUUUGUU
Molecule: long non-coding RNA, 287 nt
Filed under: Brassica napus (rape)
Lineage: Eukaryota; Viridiplantae; Streptophyta; Magnoliopsida; Brassicales; Brassicaceae
Description: long non-coding RNA (BNAP_LNC011394)
Source: RNAcentral